RNAcentral lists this ribosomal RNA (779 nucleotides) under Lysinibacillus fusiformis. Its description in RNAcentral is "bacterial SSU rRNA". It matches the Rfam family "Bacterial small subunit ribosomal RNA", at positions 63 to 824 of the family's 1533-position model. Lineage: Bacteria; Bacillati; Bacillota; Bacilli; Caryophanales; Bacillaceae. The record is from RNAcentral.
CGAGCGACAGAAAAGGAGCUUGCUCCUUUGACGUUAGCGGCGGACGGGUGAGUAACACGUGGGCAACCUACCCUAUAGUUUGGGAUAACUCCGGGAAACCGGGGCUAAUACCGAAUAAUCUCUUUUGCUUCAUGGUGAAAGACUGAAAGACGGUUUCGGCUGUCGCUAUAGGAUGGGCCCGCGGCGCAUUAACUAGUUGGUGAGGUAACGGCUCACCAAGGCGACGAUGCGUAACCGACCUGAGAGGGUGAUCGGCCACACUGGGACUGAAACACGGCCCAGACUCCUACGGGAGGCAGCAGUAGGGAAUCUUCCACAAUGGGCGAAAGCCUGAUGGAACAACGCCGCGUGAGUGAAGAAGGUUUUCGGAUCGUAAAACUCUGUUGUAAGGGAAGAACAAGUACAGUAGUAACUGGCUGUACCUUGACGGUACCUUAUUAAAAAGCCACGGCUAACUACGUGCCAGCAGCCGCGGUAAUACGUAAGUGGCAAGCGUUGUCCGGAAUUAUUGGGCGUAAAGCGCGCGCAGGCGGUCCUUUAAGUCUGAUGUGAAAGCCCACGGCUCAACCGUGGAGGGUCAUUGGAAACUGGGGGACUUGAGUGCAGAAGAGGAAAGUGGAAUUCCAAGUGUAGCGGUGAAAUGCGUAGAGAUUUGGAGGAACACCAGUGGCGAAGGCGACUUUCUGGUCUGUAACUGACGCUGAGGCGCGAAAGCGUGGGGAGCAAACAGGAUUAGAUACCCUGGUAGUCCACGCCGUAAACGAUGAGUGCUAAGUGUU